Molecule: long non-coding RNA, 1368 nt
Filed under: Callithrix jacchus (white-tufted-ear marmoset)
Lineage: Eukaryota; Metazoa; Chordata; Mammalia; Primates; Cebidae
Description: lncRNA (ENSCJAG00000072889.1)
Source: RNAcentral
ACAAAACUAUUUGACCAUCUUUGCAUUAAGGCAAUGUAUAACCCAUCUACAUCUCUAUCAUUUAGUAGGCUUCUGGCCACUGAUAACACCCCAACUCAAAUGGAAAUAAGGGAUAUAGAAAUGUAUUAUCUCACGUGACUGGAAGGCUGGGGUAGGACCACCUUCACAGAUGGUGGAAUCACUGGCUCACCAAUAGGCUUAAAUUGCAGCAGCUGCAGGCAUCAUGCCCAGACCUGCCAUGUUCAGGGGAAGAAGAGGGAUAGAAAGAUCGUCUCUUCCUGUGGCUCCCUCACAGAAGAUGGAAUUGUUCCAGAAACUCCCCAGAUUUCCCUCUGAUUUGGCCACAUUUUGGACAUGUCCAUGCUUGGACCACUUGCAAGGGGAAAGGGAUUACCAGAAUCGCUUGGACGAUCCAGGAACCACUCCUGGAUAUGGGGUGGGGUCAGCUUGUCUUGGGGCACAUGCUGCCUGUGUGUGAGGCAGACACCCAUGUCAGACAGGCUUCUACAGGAAACAGGUGGCUCACAAAAAUCGAGUACUGUGAGGGGAGGUUAACAGGGAGACUACAGACGUAUGAGUGGUGUAAGGAAAUUAAAUAAAAAAACAAAAACCCCUGCACCUCCAAGGCCAGUAACAGGGCAUACUGUUACCAUCUAUAUUGGUUUCCUGUGGCCACUAUAAGAAAAUAAUACAAAUUAUGUGGCUUAAAACAACAGAAAUUUAUAUUCUUUUUUAAAAUUACACUCUAAGUUCUGGGAUACAUGUGCAGAAUGUGAGUUCAUGUCCCUUUCAGGAACAUGGAUAAAGCUGGAAACCAUUCUCAGCGAACUGACACAAGAAAUUUAUUCUUUUUUUUUUUUUUUUUUUUUUUUAGACGGAGUUUCAUUCUUGUUACCGAGGCUGGAGUGCAAUGGCGCGAUCUCGGCUCACUGCAACCUCCGCCUCCUGGGUUCAGGCAAUUCUCCUGCCUCAGCCUCCUGAGUAGCUGGGAUUACAGGCAUGCGCCACCAUGCCCAGCUAAUUUUUUGUAUUUUUAAGACAGGGUUUCACCAUGUUGGCCAGGUAGGUCUUGAACUCCUGACCUCAGGUGAUCUGCCCACCCCAGCAUCCCAAAGUGCUGGGAUUAUAGGCAUAAGCCACUGUACCUUUUUCCAUUUAUUUUUAUUUUUGGUAGAGAUGGGGUCUUGCCAUGUUGCCCAGGCUGGUCUCAAACUCCUGGCCUCAAGCAAUUCUCCUGCCUCAGACUCCCAAAGUCCUGGAAUUAUAGACAUGAGCUACCAUAGCUGGCCUCUUUUUCUUCUACUUAAUAGACAUGUGUUAAGCACUUGUGAUGGGCUAGGCAGUAUAGGUAUGACAUUGAGAAGCUUC